AUGCAGGGCAUGGCGUUGGCUAUACAGAAUACCUCACUUCCGGUGGUCGUUCAGUCAGAUUCCGCUAAAGCACUCUCAAUCUUGUCUAACAAUGGCCUGGUGAAGUCAGCUUAUGGGCAGUUGGUGCUUGAGAUUAAGGAGUUGAUGAGUAGUAGGGAGUUUUUACCACAGAAAAUUCACCGUAGUCAAAAUUGUGUCGCAGAUCGUUUGGCCACUUAUAGCCGAUCAGAGAGAACCACAGCUGUGUGGUUACAGUUGGCGCCACCUUGUAUUGAGGAGUUGUGGCCUCUUGAUUGUAACACUAUUACUUUGCAAUAA
Molecule: ribosomal RNA, 318 nt
Filed under: Triticum aestivum (bread wheat)
Lineage: Eukaryota; Viridiplantae; Streptophyta; Magnoliopsida; Poales; Poaceae
Description: partial small subunit ribosomal RNA
Source: RNAcentral